UACAGAGGGUGCGAGCGUUGUCCGGAAUCACUGGGCGUAAAGGGCGCGUAGGUGGUGGCUUAAGCGUGCGGUGAAAGCUCGGGGCUCAACUCCGAGUCGGCCGUGCGAACUGGGCUCACUGGAGCAUAGUAGAGGCAGGUGGAAUUCCUGGUGUAGCGGUGGAAUGCGCAGAUAUCAGGAGGAACACCAAUGGCGAAGGCAGCUCGCUGGGACGGUACUGACGCUGAGGCGCGAAAGCGUGGGGAGCGAACAGG
RNAcentral lists this ribosomal RNA (254 nucleotides) under uncultured bacterium. Its description in RNAcentral is "partial 16S ribosomal RNA". It matches the Rfam family "Bacterial small subunit ribosomal RNA", at positions 524 to 776 of the family's 1533-position model. The record is from RNAcentral.